RNAcentral lists this long non-coding RNA (385 nucleotides) under Lupinus angustifolius (narrow-leaved blue lupine). RNAcentral describes it as "long non-coding RNA (LANG_LNC002615)". The record is from RNAcentral. Lineage: Eukaryota; Viridiplantae; Streptophyta; Magnoliopsida; Fabales; Fabaceae.
AAGCCUAUAGUUAGUUCUCUCCUCACUAACGGAAGUAUCUUAGUUAGUAGCAUCAGCUCUUCCGAGUCCGAGUCCGAGUCCGAGUCCGAGUCCGAGUCCGAAUGAGAGUACUCUAUUUCCAUUAGGAGCUUCCCCCAGCUGAGCUAGGCAACUUCCCUAAUGAAAGGAAUAUAGCAUAAAUUAAAUUAGGGAGGCCGUAGAUGAAAGCCUCUUCAGUAAACUCUGUCCGCUUCCGCUUCUGAAUCUGGAUGGCGGCUUUGGUUGGAGAAGAGAGUCUUUCAGUUACGGUUUAGGGCUAGUGAGUUACUAGACGUUCGUGAAGGCAGCCUACCAAUAAUAGAUAUCGCUCGUAGACAUAAAACCGUUUUCCUCUUUUAUAGGCGAC